CCUACGGGAGGCAGCAGUGGGGAAUAUUGGGCAAUGGAGGAAACUCUGACCCAGCGACGCCGCGUGCGGGAUGAAGGCCUUCGGGUUGUAAACCGCUUUCAGUAGGGAAGAAGCGAAAGUGACGGUACCUACAAAAGAAGCACCGGCUAACUAUGUGCCAGCAGCCGCGGUAAUACAUAGGGUGCAAGCGUUGUCCGGAAUUAUUGGGCGUAAAGAGCUCGUAGGUCGUUUGUUACGUCGGAUGUGAAAACCUGAGGCUCAACCUCAGGCCUGCAUUCGAUACGGGCAAACUAGAGUUUGGUAGGGGAGACUGGAAUUCCUGGUGUAGCGGUGGAAUGCGCAGAUAUCAGGAGGAACACCAAUGGCGAAGGCAGGUCUCUGGGCCAAUACUGACACUGGGGAGCGAAAGUCUGGGGAGCGAACAGGAUUAGAUACCCUGGUAGUCCAGACCGUAAACGGUGGGCACUAGUUGUGGGAACCUUCCACGGUUUCUGCGACGCAGCUAACGCAUUAAGUGCCCCGCCUGGGGAGUACGAUCGCAAGAUUAAAACUCAAAGAAUUGACGG
RNAcentral lists this ribosomal RNA (566 nucleotides) under uncultured bacterium. RNAcentral describes it as "bacterial SSU rRNA". It matches the Rfam family "Bacterial small subunit ribosomal RNA", at positions 338 to 916 of the family's 1533-position model. The record is from RNAcentral.